Non-coding RNA from Aegilops tauschii subsp. strangulata, 3236 nucleotides. The record is from RefSeq and is a predicted model, not a curated record. NCBI's taxonomy places the organism in Eukaryota, Viridiplantae, Streptophyta, Magnoliopsida, Poales, Poaceae.
ACGGGUUCCAACCCGGUUCCUCGCCUCAGAGCGCAACUCAGAAAAGAAAGCCCCAUCGAGGGGUCGAGCUGACCUACCCAUUCCCGAUCCCGAUCCCUCCACCGCCGCCGGCCGCCCUCCAUCGUCGAUGUUGCCCUUCACCGCUGGCCUACGCCCUCUCCCCCUCCCCCUCCCCCUCCCCUUACCUCACAGAUCAGUGCCCCCCUCCUCCUCUCCUGCUCGCCUUCUUCGCCCCCUCCUCGACGUCCUCGUCGGCGGCGCCGGGCAUCAUCCAGCUGCCGCGCGUCGGGUUCUGCGCCGCACCGGCCUCCACGCGUCAAGUUCGUCGAGUUUGGCGGCACUCGCGCCAUCCCACUCAUCUACAAGACUACAACGAGCCCGCGAGCGCCUCCUCGAGUGUGCUCUGAAAUUUGAGGCAUGUCUACCUCAGAGGUUUCCGGGAGUGCCGAUUCCAUGGAUGAGGAUAUGAGUCAAGUACCACGUGUUAGAAGGUCCAAGGUGUGGGAGCAUUAUGAACAAGAUCUGGUUCGCAUACAUGGUGAUCUCAAGGCUGUGUGCAAAUAUUGUGGGACACAACUUCACACCAAGUUUGGGACUACGAGUUUGAGAACCCAUAUUGCAGAGUCUUGCAAAUCAAUUGAGGAUGGUUGUAGGAAGAAUUUUCUGUUGACUAUGAAAAAAACAACUUCCGAAGGCCCGUUUGUGUUUGAUCAAAAAGUUUGCCGUGAUCUCAUGGUCAAGUUUUGCAUCCAUCCUGAGAUCCCCUUUCUUAAGUUUGAAGAUCCAUACCUUUAGUCAUGGAUUAACUCAAUGCAGCCAGCAUUUCAAGUCAUGGGUCGUCACACAAUUCGCGAUGAUGCAGUGAAGAUGUACAAGGGAAUGAAGAAAGAUAUCGAAGUUGAGUUACAAAAUUUGGAUUCUCGCAUUUUCUUAACAUCUGAUAUGUGGACUUCAUCACAGAGCUUGGGCUACAUGUCCAUCACCGCCCACUAUAUCAAUGCAGAAUUCAUCUACAAGAAGAAGAUCAUAAGUUUCGCAGAGGUGAAGUAUCCUCACAUGGACUAUGCGAUAGAAGAGGAACUUGUUGGUUGCCUAACAGAAUGGGGCAUAAAGGGGCAAGCUGUUCACUUUGACACUGGAUAAUGCCAGCAAUAAUACUAAUGCAUGUGAUGAGUUGAUAAAAUAUCACAAACAUGAGCUGCUCCUUGAAGGUCAACAUUUGCAUGUGAGGUGAUGUGCACACAUUCUCAAUAUCUUGUUUCAGGAUGGAAUGAAGAUAACCCAUGAAGCUAUUGACAUGAUACGAGAGUUGCUGAAGUUUAUUGACUCUUCUCCUUCAAGACUUCAGGAUUUCAAUACAAUUGCAAGUGGGACGGGUCCGCCUUCAAAGAAAGGUAUCUCUAUUGAUACACCAACCAGAUGGAACUCAACAUGGAAAAUGCUUGUAGAAGCAUUGAUAUACAAAUCUGUCCUCACUAGUUAUGCAACUCGAAAGAUGAUAGAAUCUCCAAGUGAGCAAGAAUGGGAAAGGGCAGCAGCUAUUUGUGAGUUUCUAAAAGCUUUUGAAGAGCAUACCUUAAUUGUUUCAGCUCAUAGGAAGCCAACUGCACAUAAGUUUCUGCCGGUUGUGCUUUGUAUUCGCCAUGGAUUAAAAGAUCCAGGUUGGAAAACCUCUGAAGUGUUGAAGGAAUUGGCGGCAGCGAUGCAAACAAAGCUCGAUAAAUAUUGGGAUCCCGAGGAGAAGGAGAAUGCAGUUCCUAACCGUCAUAGAAAAAGCAAGGGCAUUGAGUUUAACCACUCACUUGUCAUUGGUACAUUCCUGGAUCCAAGGAGGAAAGAAGAUUAUUUGGAUUUAUUCUAUUGCAAGUUGUCUAUCAACGAGGAGCAGGUUUCAAAACAAGUGGAGAUUGCUUUAGAAUGGGUGAGAAAGUAUGUCAAGGAAUAUGAGCUACUUGCAGCGACAAGCACUGCACACUCGACACCUUCUAGUCAAGGCAAUGCCACUAUUGGAUCACCUAUUGCAGGGAAAAGAAAGCUGGAAGAAGAGUUUGCCCAACACAAGUCUCGUCGGAGGUCACGUGUACACAAAUCAAAACUUGACACAUACUUGGAAGAAGCAAGGGAGUAGGAUUGUGCUGACUUUGAUGUCUUGGGUUGGUGGAAGAGGCAUGCUGAAAAGUUUCCUAUAUUGGCAUCGAUGGCCCGUGACUUUCUCGCAAUUCCUUUGAGCACAGUGGCAUCCGAAUUAGCUUUCAGUUGUGGUAAGAGGAUACUUGGUGACACGAGAAGUUCUUUGACCCCUGAUAUGCUAGAAGCGCUUGUUUGUGCUAAAGAUUGGUUGUUCAAACCAAAGGAGGGAGAUGGACAGUAAGGAUGCAACUAAAAAUUUGGAACCAACAAAAGGUAAAAAUAUAAUCUUGAUCAUCGUUAUAUAUAAGCAAGGGCUAGUGAAGUUCCCAAUUUGGUGGCCAAGCUGGCUCUUUAGAAAAUCCCAAUCAUUUUUAGGUGUUUAUUAGUCUACUGUUAUGUUUGUUUAUGUUUAUUAGUUGGCUCUUUAGAAAAAUUAACAGUUGGCCAAUUUGGUAGCAAACUGUUAUAUUUAUUAGUCUACCUUUUUUCUGAUGUUGCACAAGUUAGUGGCACCUCUUUGGUGUCCUUUCUUCGGUCUGUUAAUUUUUCUGAAGGUUGUCGAGGAAUAGAAUAGAAUAUGUUCUCUUCGUUUUGGAUUUAGGUGUUUGGAGACAAUACUAUGACCAUGUACGACCAAAUAUAUUUGUACUAUUUUAUGUACUUGUUAAGGCAUAUGUGGGUAAAUAUUUUGAGUCCAGUAGUUGCUUCUGCAACCACAUUUUUUCCAACAGGAGGGGAUUGGUUUGUGUGACUGACAAAACUCAGGGCAUCUCUCUUUUGUGUUGGUGCAGACAUUUGUUCCUCCAGCAUCAGACUAUUCUGGUUCUUCUCUUGCCUAGAAAUCCUGCUUUCAACAAGUUCAGAAGCACCCAGCAUGACAUUUUCGGUUAAUCUGAAGAACAAUGGCUCCAAGUUGAAACAUGCAGCCAUCAGCACUGAAGUGGUAGUCUAGUGUAUAUCAUGGUCGCCAUGAGCCCAUGACAUGCAGGGGUUACUAUUAUCCUCUGUAAUCAAGUUCUAAACCUUUGAAGAAAAUGUUAUUCUUGUAAUGAUGGACGUGAACUCCAAGCAUCUGAUCUCAACCUGAAUCAAAUUUUAACUAUCAA